This 255-nucleotide ribosomal RNA is filed under the name uncultured bacterium. RNAcentral's name for it is "partial 16S ribosomal RNA". It matches the Rfam family "Bacterial small subunit ribosomal RNA", at positions 99 to 354 of the family's 1533-position model. The record is from RNAcentral.
CGGACGGGUGAGUAACGCGUGGGGAACCUGCCUUGCACCGGGGGAUAACACUUAGAAAUAGGUGCUAAUACCGCAUAAGCGCACAGAGCCGCAUGGCUCAGUGUGAAAAACUCCGGUGGUGCAAGAUGGACCCGCGUCUGAUUAGCUGGUUGGCGGGGUAACGGCCCACCAAGGCGACGAUCAGUAGCCGGCCUGAGAGGGUGAACGGCCACAUUGGGACUGAGACACGGCCCAAACUUCUACGGAAGGCAGCAG